CGGUCCGCGCCCGCCCUGCCCCAGCCGAGGGCACCCGCGCGGCCAGGGCCGCAGCUGGGAGCCCCGCGCCUCUCGGACGGCCGCGCGACUCGGUGACCACCUCGGAGGCCUCAGUCUCGAGAAAAGUCACUGGCAGCACCAGUUUAAAAUCAAGCCUUGCGCCCUGGUGUUUGGCCUAUAACCUCCAUCUGACAUAUAACCUGCUUCCAUGUUAAGUGGAUCAAUCACACGCUUUUCUGGGACAGCAGUCUCGAUAUUCCACCUAACAUCCUCAGAAAUCUUUCUAGGAGCAGUGUGAGGAGGACAGACGAGCCCUCUGGACUGGCAAGGCCACCGGCCAAGUACUGCUGCCACCAUGCCCAAGAGAAAGGCAAAAGGAGAUGCUAAAGGUGACAAAGCAAAGGUGAAGGAUGAGCCACAGAGGAGAUCAGCACGGUUGUCCGCUAAACCUGCCCCCCCAAAACCAGAGCCCAGGCCUAAAAAGGCCCCUGCAAAGAAGGGAGAGAAGCUGCCCAAAGGGAGAAAGGGGAAAGCAGAUAGUGGCAAGGAUGGGAACAACCCUGCGAAAAACCGAGAUGCCGCCACAGUCCAGUCACAGAAAGCGGAAGGCAGCGGGGAUGCCAAGUGAAGUGUGCUAUUUUGAUAGCUCUGUACUUCUAGUGACUCUGCUGUUUGAAAUACUGUUUUUUUUCAAAUCAACUUUUAUAAAAAUGUAGAAUUUUGUUUUUCUUUUUAAGUUAUAUUGUUAGCACACAGGACACUUAGUUGUCUUUUGUGGAAAGGGCAAAUACCACUAACAGAGUGUUUCAGAAGCUGGAUUAAAAUGGAGGAAAAUAGUAUUUUCUGUCCUCAUUUUUGAAGAUUAUUCUUGGUCCCCGGGAGAGAUUCUCUGACAUUCACACACGAGUCAGUCACUUUGGCUCAGACGCCUUACAGUGUGUGGAAGCAAAACUUCAUGUCUUUGCCUUUCCUGAUACCAUCAGCAUAUAUUUGACUUUCUGAACCCAAGAGUUAUGGUUUCAGAAAACCAGCAUCCCUAAAAUCAGCUGUGUUGGGUAAUAAUCCUCAGGCCUUCUGAUGAAGACAUCGACAUGGUGUUGCUCAAAAGAGCCAAGAUUCCUGUUUGCAAUUUGUGGAUCAUCCCAUUGAUAAUCCUGGAGUUUGUAGUUUUCUCCAAGUCAGAAAUGACCUGUGAAAAGCUCUUACAUGCCUCAUGUGAAAUAUCCACCCCUUCUGACAACUUUGCCUGUUCAAAGCAGGAACAGAAGACUUUGUUGACUUUUUGGGGAGGGGUGUUUGGAAGUUGUAAAAUGUUAUGGAUUGUCACCUAUGUCCUGCUGGAAAUAACUGUUUUUGAAAAGUAUCUUAUGGAGCUGUAUACAAGUUGGCUUGGUGGAAGGGGGGGAUCAUUUCCUACCCAAAGUCAUAAAGAUAUUCUUUACUGCCUUGUAAAAGUUUUACAGUUUUGCUUUUCAUACGUCUUUAGUCUUUAGAACUGGUUUUUGUGAAAAGUAUGAGAUAGAAGUUCAAUAUAAUAUAUUUUCCAUAUAGAUAAGUGGUUGUUGCAGCACCAUUUUCUGAAAAGUUCAUCCUUUCCUCACUGACCUGUAACACUGUCUCUUUCAUAAAUCAAGUUUGUGUGUUUGUGUGGGUCUCUUGAUGGUUUCUGUUCUGACUCACUGGUCAAUUUGUCUAACCUGUGGCAGUACUAUACAAUCCUGAGUAUGACAACUUUAGAAAAAGGUCUUGAUAUCUCAGGACAAAUCCCACCUCCACCUCCAACAUCAUCACCAAAUUUUUCUUCCUUGAGAGUAUCUUGGCUAUUUUUAGCCAUUUGCUUUUCCAUACAAUUUCUAGAAUUAGAUUGAGAAGUUCUAAAUCAAACAAAAAAAAUGUUGGAAUUUUUAUUAGAUUUAUGGAUUAAUUACAGUGUUGAAUCUUCCAAUCCAUGAACAUGGUAUAGCAUUUAUUUAGGCUUUUUAAAUGUCUUUCAAUAAAGUUUUAUAAUUUUCUCCAUAAAUGUCUUCUUUUGUUAAUAUUUCCUGGGGACUUUAUACCUUUUGAUGCUCUUUUAUGUGGUAUAUUUUAGUUACUACAUUUUCUGGUUUUAGCUAAAGUUGAUUUUUGUAUCCAGCAACCUUGCUAAACUCUCAAUUCUUAUAUGUCUGUAUACUUCUUUGGGUUUUCUGCCU
RNAcentral lists this long non-coding RNA (2192 nucleotides) under Equus asinus (donkey). RNAcentral describes it as "lncRNA (ENSEASG00005032087.1)". The record is from RNAcentral. Lineage: Eukaryota; Metazoa; Chordata; Mammalia; Perissodactyla; Equidae.